GAUCAUGGCUCAGGAUGAACGCUAGCUACAGGCUUAACACAUGCAAGUCGAGGGGCAGCAUGGUCUUAGCUUGCUAAGACUGAUGGCGACCGGCGCACGGGUGAGUAGCGCGUAUGCAACCUGCCCGAUACCGGGGUAUAGCCCAUGGAAACGUGGAUUAACACCCCAUAGUACUUUUAUCCUGCAUGGGAUGUGAGUUAAAUGUUCAAGGUAUCGGAUGGGCAUGCG
This 228-nucleotide ribosomal RNA is filed under the name uncultured bacterium. RNAcentral describes it as "partial 16S ribosomal RNA". It matches the Rfam family "Bacterial small subunit ribosomal RNA", at positions 15 to 235 of the family's 1533-position model. The record is from RNAcentral.